RNAcentral lists this ribosomal RNA (402 nucleotides) under uncultured microorganism. RNAcentral describes it as "bacterial SSU rRNA". It matches the Rfam family "Bacterial small subunit ribosomal RNA", at positions 355 to 774 of the family's 1533-position model. The record is from RNAcentral.
UGGGGAAUAUUGGACAAUGGGCGCAAGCCUGAUGCAGCAACGCCGCGUGAGUGAUGAAGGCCUUCGGGUUGUAAAGCUCUGUCUUUUGGGACGAUAAUGACGGUACCAAAGGAGGAAGCCACGGCUAACUACGUGCCAGCAGCCGCGGUAAUACGUAGGUGGCGAGCGUUGUCCGGAUUUACUGGGCGUAAAGGAUGCGUAGGCGGAUAUUUAAGUGAGAUGUGAAAUACCCGAGCUUAACUUGGGUGCUGCAUUUCAAACUGGAUAUCUAGAGUGUGGGAGAGGAGAAUGGAAUUCCUAGUGUAGCGGUGAAAUGCGUAGAGAUUAGGAAGAACACCAGUGGCGAAGGCGAUUCUCUGGACCAUAACUGACGCUGAGGCAUGAAAGCGUGGGUAGCAAACA